Non-coding RNA from Delphinapterus leucas (beluga whale), 1092 nucleotides. The record is from RefSeq and is a predicted model, not a curated record. NCBI's taxonomy places the organism in Eukaryota, Metazoa, Chordata, Mammalia, Artiodactyla, Monodontidae.
CCGCCGCCGCCGCCGCCGCUCCCGCUGCCGCUUCAGCGCCACACAUCGCCGGGACACCCGCGCCGGGCAGCCCCGCCAGGCGCCCGCUUGCCGGCGCUGUGCCCCGCCUGAGCUCCGGGCCGCCUCUCCUGCCGCCCGACUUCGUGUCCCCACGGCUCCACGCGCCCCUCGUCACGGUCAGCUGCGGUUUCCGAGCCGCCCCCGAACCAAGCAGUUGACUUGCAGGCGUCCGCCAAGGCCUCCCCAAGGUGGCGCCACACCCAGGAUAGGCCCCCGGGCCCUCCGCAGCUCUGGCGCCGAGUUGAUGAUGUAAAAGGUUCAGCCUCGCGGGGCGGAGCUAUUGGGCCUCAGCACCGGACUCUAGUGGCUGCGGGAGCGUUUCUCUUUUCUCCUAGCGGCGCGGACGAGAUUUGUGGCGCCAGAAACACCCUGCGGAAGGAGCCGGGGAUAUCGACUAGUGAUAGAGAAGAGGAAACUGAGGCCACGGGCGGGUCCUACGGUAGAUGCAAGUGCCAUGAGGACAGGGACAGACGUUUCAGUUGACCUGGUGCCACCGCGCACCACCUUAAGCCUAAGAAGCCGCAGAGAAGAUGGGAGAACGGGGGUGAGCUCAAAGCUCUGCCCUUUGCUGCUCGGUUCACGUGUAAUGGCACUGUUGCUGCUGCUCAUCAUCAAAGCUAAAAUACAGAAUCAUUUCUUGAAGCAACGUCAACUGGAAUAUCCCAUUACUGCUGACUGGUCAUAAAAUCCUUGUCUCCUCAAUGAGCUUGGUAAGGAGCCCCAGUCAUCCAUCUGCUUGCCCAAGAACAGCUGCACGGGCAUAUGCACUGGAGGGAAGUUUCAUCUGGAGGAGAGGGGGAAGGACAUCCCCAUCUGCUAUACCACACCCUGACCCAGGAGGAACUAAACCCGGCACCCCAAUUCUGGGAUGUGAGUAGUGGAUUCCAGAAGACCCUGGCUUGGGGAUCUCUACUACCUGGGUUGCGAGAGGCUGCUGGGAGGCACUUACCACACGGUGCCAGCCUGGAGGGCUUGGGACAGAUAAUUGGCCUUGUCCAAGUCCUUUGUGAAGACAGCUGCGGCCAGCCCGUA